GACUCAGUGGCCUAAUGGAUAAGGCAUCAGCCUCCAGAGCUGGGGAUUAUGGGUUCAAGUCCCAUCUGGGUUG
Molecule: transfer RNA, 73 nt
Filed under: Nothobranchius furzeri (turquoise killifish)
Lineage: Eukaryota; Metazoa; Chordata; Actinopteri; Cyprinodontiformes; Nothobranchiidae
Description: tRNA-Trp (CCA) (tRNA-Trp-CCA-6-1)
Rfam family: tRNA
About the family: Transfer RNA (tRNA) molecules are approximately 80 nucleotides in length. Their secondary structure includes four short double-helical elements and three loops (D, anti-codon, and T loops).
Source: Rfam by way of RNAcentral